AAAUAAGACUUCAUGUCAUUGCCUUAAAUGCUUUCUUUUUAGUUUUUCAACAACAGAACAAGCACUUUGGGGAAAUGGACUCAUUAUUUCUUUGUUGGAAGUAAUGGAAGAAUCUGAAAAAUGCCCGGAUCUGCUCUGCUAAGUGGUGAUAAGGGCACUAUUUUCCAAGAACAUCCUGCACCUAAUCAAUAGUUUGCUGUUCACGACUCCUCCAGCACCGGCUUGGUCUCUCUGGUAUUCUGCCUGCAACAUGCAGUUUAAUCUCCUCAAAAGAUGUGAGUGCCUGAAAAUCUUUAGUUUUUCUAAAGCCUUUGGACUUAAUGUAAGAUACCAUCAUGAAAUUUAAUGGCCU
This 352-nucleotide long non-coding RNA is filed under the name Ficedula albicollis (Collared flycatcher). Its description in RNAcentral is "lncRNA (ENSFALG00000020525.2)". Lineage: Eukaryota; Metazoa; Chordata; Aves; Passeriformes; Muscicapidae. The record is from RNAcentral.